This 322-nucleotide ribosomal RNA is filed under the name uncultured eukaryote. RNAcentral's name for it is "partial 18S ribosomal RNA". It matches the Rfam family "Eukaryotic small subunit ribosomal RNA", at positions 1470 to 1796 of the family's 1831-position model. The record is from RNAcentral.
CCCUUAGAUGUCCUGGGCCGCACGCGCGCUACACUGACAUGUUCAACAAGUUUCUCCUAGUUCGACAGGACUGGGAAAUCUUUGAACGCAUGUCGUGAUAGGGAUAGAUCAUUGCAACUAUUGAUCUUGAACGAGGAAUUCCUAGUAAACGCGAGUCAUCAGCUCGCAUUGAUUACGUCCCUGCCCUUUGUACACACCGCCCGUCGCACCUACCGAUUGAAUGUUUCGGUGAAGAUUCCGGAUAGGACUGAUUUGAUUUAUUUCAUUUCUGACCUAAAAGCUAUCUAAACCUCAACAUUUAGAGGAAGGUGAAGUCGUAACA